This is a long non-coding RNA of Erpetoichthys calabaricus (reedfish), 1438 nucleotides long. RefSeq lists it as uncharacterized. The transcript has 3 exons. Lineage: Eukaryota; Metazoa; Chordata; Cladistia; Polypteriformes; Polypteridae. The record is from RefSeq and is a predicted model, not a curated record.
GAAGGCAGGAAUCGGCUGUUAGUUCAGAUUCUUGGAUGGCCGCUGGUUUUGUUGUAAGAUUAGCAGCUACACCAUUAGAGGACAUUAUUGUCAAAGACUCGUCUCCUUAGCUCUGGGUUUCUUAUUUAUUGGGUUGUGUUGAGCUGUAGAUGUGUGUUGUUUAAGUGAUUGAGAAUGCUAAAGUGAAUACACUCAUAUAGCGCCUUGCCUGAUCCUUCUUUCUUGUGUCGACCUCUCCAGCGGCUCCGCUCUCCCAGGUUCAUCCUCUGACCCUCGGCCUGGUGUCCGUUCUUUGUCUGCUGCUCCUCCUUCUCCUGCUUUGGUGCUCCAUCAGGAACAUAAAGCUAAACAAGAGAGCCCACCACGCAGCGGGCAGGCCUAACAGAAGACAUCAGACAGAACAAGAAAAGAACAAAAGAGGGGAAAGGCCUGAAGCCCAGUGUGCCAGCCCUGGAGGUGAAGAUGCUUGUUACGCUGCCAUUGAUUUUUCUAAAAGGAAAUCCAACAAGAAAACAGAGGAGGAUUAUGUGAAUUCUAAUGUCCUGAGAAACUGGACAGAUGAAGUUGUGGUAUACGCGAGUAUUAAACACUAACGAAACUGAAGAAGCUCAGCAUUGCAGUUCAUCUUCAUAAGAACACAGUUUGAAAAACACAUAAUGAAUGGACCACGACGGUGGCAACCACCCACACAAGAAAGAGCUGACCAGAGUUGUGUAUCACCCAGACCUGGACAUCAUUAGGUGGGUCUGACUUAAUAAGUGUCCACCUGAUUGGCUAGAACAUAUCCUGAUAGGCAUGAAAGUCACCACCUGACCUCUGUCACCACCUACUUAGCUCAAUGUGUCCAAUUAUGGUUGCUCCCUUACGUUCAGAUUAAGUCCAUCAUGCAUCAGGUGUCCCAUGGUGGAUCAUCCACCACUCGACCUUUGAAAAUAAACAGUCAUGGAAAUGCACAUUGAAUUUACAAGGCACCACAAUACCAUCAAAGCCCUGAAAAGUCCAUUAUAGAGAAGGAGAAUCUGUGAAGAAGGGGGCUUCCUCCAUUGGGCAGUCUAAGCAAGAAGACCCGUAGUCACUAAACUGUGUGUUCAGAUGGUGAUGGUGAUCAUGAGUUCAAAAUCCACAAAAAUCUUGAAUUCUAGGCGCUAGAGUGCGUUGUUUAGGAAGAAGUGCAGUGUGGAUGAUCGCCUUUGGGUGUUGUGAAUGGUGACAUGGAAAGACCAGUGUCCCAGCUGGGUUGGAGGGUGCCACCUUUUCUAAAGCAUAAACAGUGUGAUUGAAGAAGUAACUCGGCCGGGAUGGCUAAUCAUUCCUAUCCUAGUCAGGGCAGUUGGGGUGUAGUGUAGUAGAUGGACUGGGACAGUUUACCCCUCAACAUGGGAGGUGGCAGUGCUUCUCCAGUCAGCUCCCAAUUUGGAUACCUGCAGGGUAUCAUGGG